This 253-nucleotide ribosomal RNA is filed under the name uncultured bacterium. RNAcentral describes it as "partial 16S ribosomal RNA". It matches the Rfam family "Bacterial small subunit ribosomal RNA", at positions 524 to 776 of the family's 1533-position model. The record is from RNAcentral.
GACAGAGGGUGCAAACGUUGUUCGGAUUUACUGGGCGUAAAGGGCGCGUAGGCGGCCUGCUAAGUCGGACGUGAAAUCCCUCGGCUCAACCGAGGAACUGCGUCCGAUACUGGUGGGCUUGAAUCCGGGAGAGGGAUGUGGAAUUCCAGGUGUAGCGGUGAAAUGCGUAGAUAUCUGGAGGAACACCGGUGGCGAAGGCGGCAUCCUGGACCGGUAUUGACGCUGAGGCGCGAAAGCUAGGGGAGCAAACGGG